Molecule: long non-coding RNA, 392 nt
Filed under: Homo sapiens (human)
Lineage: Eukaryota; Metazoa; Chordata; Mammalia; Primates; Hominidae
Description: metastasis associated lung adenocarcinoma transcript 1
Source: RNAcentral
AGGCAUUGAGGCAGCCAGCGCAGGGGCUUCUGCUGAGGGGGCAGGCGGAGCUUGAGGAAACCGCAGAUAAAGGCAUUUCAUCCUUCAUGAAGCCAUUCAGGAUUUUGAAUUGCAUAUGAGUGCUUGGCUCUUCCUUCUGUUCUAACUUCACAGAGAAUGCAGUUGUCUUGACUUCAGAUGCAACCUUAAAAUCAGUGACAAGAAACAUUCCAAACAAGCAACAGUCUUCAAGAAAUUAAACUGGCAAGUGGAAAUGUUUAAACAGUUCAGUGAUCUUUAGUGCAUUGUUUAUGUGUGGGUUUCUCUCUCCCCUCCCUUGGUCUUAAUUCUUACAUGCAGGAACACUCAGCAGACACACGUAUGCGAAGGGCCAGAGAAGCCAGACCCAGUAA